This 491-nucleotide ribosomal RNA is filed under the name uncultured bacterium. RNAcentral describes it as "bacterial SSU rRNA". It matches the Rfam family "Bacterial small subunit ribosomal RNA", at positions 29 to 526 of the family's 1533-position model. The record is from RNAcentral.
AACGAACGUUGGCGGCGUGGAUUAGGCAUGCAAGUCGAACGAAUCCUCAGGGGCUUGCUCUUGAGGGAAAGUGGCGAAAGGGGCAGUAAGGCGUGGGUAACCUACCCUGGGGACUGGGAUAGCCGUCCUAACGGAUGGGUAAUACCGGGCGAUGUAGCUGGAGGACAUCCACUGGCUACCAAAUGAAUUUCGCCCUGGGAGGGGCUCACGUGGUAUUAGCUAGUUGGUGAGGUAAUGGCUCACCAAGGCCAAGAUGCCUAGCUGGUGUGAGAGCACGACCAGCGCCACUGGCACUGCGACACUGGCCAGACUCCUACGGGAGGCUGCAGUCGAGGAUCUUCCGCAAUGGGCGCAAGCCUGACGGAGCGACGCCGCGUGCGCGAUGAAGGCCUUCGGGUUGUAAAGCGCUUUUGUAGGGGAGGAAAGCGCAAGCUUGACUGUACCCUGCGAAUAAGCUCGGGCUAAGUUCGUGCCAGCAGCCGCAGUAAAAC